UCUCCGUUGGUGAACCAGCGGAGGGAUCAUUACCGAGUUUACAACUCCCAAACCCCUGUGAACAUACCAUUUGUUGCCUCGGCGGUGCCUGCUUCGGCGGCCCGCCAGAGGACCCAAACCCUUGAUUUUAUACAGUAUCUUCUGAGUAAAUGAUUAAAUAAAUCAAAACUUUCAACAACGGAUCUCUUGGUUCUA
RNAcentral lists this unclassified non-coding RNA (195 nucleotides) under plant metagenome. RNAcentral's name for it is "partial contains small subunit ribosomal RNA, internal transcribed spacer 1, and 5.8S ribosomal RNA". The record is from RNAcentral.